Molecule: ribosomal RNA, 272 nt
Filed under: uncultured bacterium
Lineage: Bacteria
Description: partial 16S ribosomal RNA
Rfam family: Bacterial small subunit ribosomal RNA
Source: RNAcentral
UACAGAGGUCCCCAAGCGUUGUUCGGAUUCACUGGGCGUAAAGGGUGCGUAGGCGGCUUUGCAAGUCUGAUGUGAAAUCUCCGGGCCCAACCCGGAAAUGGCAUUAGAAACUGCGGAGCUGGAGGCUUGGAGGGGGAACUGGAAUGCUCGGUGUAGCAGUGAAAUGCGUAGAGAUCGAGCGGAACACCGGUGGCGAAGGCGAGUUCCUGGACAAGACCUGACGCUGAGGCACGAAAGCCGGGGGAGCAAACAGGAUUAGAAACCCCUGUAGU